CAGUAGCCACGGUAAUACGUAGGUCCCGAGCGUUGUCCGGAUUUAUUGGGCGUAAAGCGAGCGCAGGCGGUUAGAUAAGUCUGAAGUUAAAGGCUGUGGCUUAACCAUAGUACGCUUUGGAAACUGUUUAACUUGAGUGCAAGAGGGGAGAGUGGAAUUCCAUGUGUAGCGGUGAAAUGCGUAGAUAUAUGGAGGAACACCGGUGGCGAAAGCGGCUCUCUGGCUUGUAACUGACGCUGAGGCUCGAAAGCGUGGGGCGCAAACAGGAUUAGAGACCCCCGUAGUCCCUGUCUCUUAUACA
RNAcentral lists this ribosomal RNA (301 nucleotides) under uncultured bacterium. RNAcentral's name for it is "partial 16S ribosomal RNA". It matches the Rfam family "Bacterial small subunit ribosomal RNA", at positions 509 to 808 of the family's 1533-position model. The record is from RNAcentral.